GUGGGGAAUAUUGGACAAUGGGCGAAAGCCUGAUCCAGCCAUGCCGCGUGUGUGAAGAAGGUCUUCGGAUUGUAAAGCACUUUAAGUUGGGAGGAAGGGUAGUAACCUAAUACGUUGCUACUUUGACGUUACCGACAGAAUAAGCACCGGCUAACUUCGUGCCAGCAGCCGCGGUAAUACGAAGGGUGCAAGCGUUAAUCGGAAUUACUGGGCGUAAAGCGCGCGUAGGUGGUUCAGUAAGUUGGAAGUGAAAUCCCCGGGCUCAACCUGGGAACUGCUUUCAAAACUGCUGAGCUAGAGUACGGUAGAGGGUGGUGGAAUUUCCUGUGUAGCGGUGAAAUGCGUAGAUAUAGGAAGGAACACCAGUGGCGAAGGCGACCACCUGGACUGAUACUGACACUGAGGUGCGAAAGCUUGGGGAGCAAACAGGAUUAGAUACCCUGGUAGUCC
RNAcentral lists this ribosomal RNA (450 nucleotides) under uncultured bacterium. RNAcentral's name for it is "partial 16S ribosomal RNA". It matches the Rfam family "Bacterial small subunit ribosomal RNA", at positions 354 to 796 of the family's 1533-position model. The record is from RNAcentral.